RNAcentral lists this non-coding RNA (241 nucleotides) under Thermotalea metallivorans. RNAcentral describes it as "raiA RNA". It matches the Rfam family "raiA RNA". Lineage: Bacteria; Bacillati; Bacillota; Clostridia; Peptostreptococcales; Thermotaleaceae. The record is from Rfam by way of RNAcentral.
UAUAAUUAGGUCUGUGGUUGAAAGUCCAUGCCAGUCGCAGGCAAAGGGACCCACGUAAGGCAGCUUAAAAGCAGGGCUGCUGAGCAUGGUGCGGCUUAGGAGUAAGACCUGCCAGGAGAGUGGCGAGGCGGUUGAUGCGCAAGCUCGUCAGGGCUUCUGAGAGGAGUAGUAGUGACGGCGAACCCGGAGCAAACCUUCCAGCAGGCGAGUGUGGGGGCAAAGACCAGGUCAGCUAAAUAUA